RNAcentral lists this transfer RNA (79 nucleotides) under Neolewinella maritima. RNAcentral's name for it is "Lewinella maritima tRNA-Ala". It matches the Rfam family "tRNA". Rfam says of the family: Transfer RNA (tRNA) molecules are approximately 80 nucleotides in length. Their secondary structure includes four short double-helical elements and three loops (D, anti-codon, and T loops). The record is from RNAcentral. Lineage: Bacteria; Pseudomonadati; Bacteroidota; Saprospiria; Saprospirales; Lewinellaceae.
UGGGGGAUUAGCUCAGCUGGCUAGAGCACCUGAUUUGCAUUCAGGAGGUCAUCGGUUCGACUCCGAUAUCCUCCACCCA